RNAcentral lists this ribosomal RNA (591 nucleotides) under uncultured bacterium. Its description in RNAcentral is "partial 16S ribosomal RNA". It matches the Rfam family "Bacterial small subunit ribosomal RNA", at positions 355 to 1375 of the family's 1533-position model. The record is from RNAcentral.
UGGGGAAUUUUGGACAAUGGGCGAAAGCCUGAUCCAGCAAUGCCGCGUGUGUGAAGAAGGCCUUCGGGUUGUAAAGCACUUUUGUCCGGAAAGAAAUCCUUGGCUCUAAUACAGUCGGGGGAUGACGGUACCGGAAGAAUAAGCACCGGCUAACUACGUGCCAGCAGCCGCGGUAAUACGUAGGGUGCAAGCGUUAAUCGGAAUUACUGGGCGUAAAGCGUGCGCAGGGCGGUUUGCUAAGACCGAUGUGAAAUCCCCGGGCUCAACCUGGGAACUGCAUUGGUGACUGGCAGGCUAGAGUAUGGCAGAGGGGGGUAGAAUUCCACGUGUAGCAGUGAAAUGCGUAGAGAUGUGGAGGAAUACGAUGGCGAAGGCAGCCCCCUGGGCCAAUACUGACGCUCAUGCACGAAAGCGUGGGGGAGCAAAACAGGAUUAGAUACCCUGGUAGUCCACGCCCUAAAACGAUGUCAACUAGUUGUUGGGGAUCCAUUUCCUUAGUAACGUAGCUAACGCGUGAAGUUGACCGCCUGGGGGAGUACGGGUCGCAAAGAUUAAAACUUAAAUGAAUUGACGGGGUCAUAGCUGUUUCCU